UUGUGCCUACGGGGCGCAGCAGUGAGGAAUAUUGGUCAAUGGGCGGGAGCCUGAACCAGCCAAGUCGCGUGAGGGACGACGGUCCUAUGGACUGUAAACCUCUUUUGUCGGGGAACAAAGGCGCCCACGGGUGGGCGGAUGAGUGUACCCGAAGAAAAAGCAUCGGCUAACUACGUGCCAGCAGCCGCGGUAAUACGUAGGUGGCAAGCGUUGUCCGGAUUUAUUGGGCGUAAAGCGAGUGCAGGCGGUUCAAUAAG
Molecule: ribosomal RNA, 257 nt
Filed under: uncultured bacterium
Lineage: Bacteria
Description: partial 16S ribosomal RNA
Rfam family: Bacterial small subunit ribosomal RNA
Source: RNAcentral